CCUACGUGGGGCAGCAGUGGGGAAUAUUGGACAAUGGGCGAAAGCCUGAUCCAGCCAUGCCGCGUGUGUGAAGAAGGCCUUCGGGUUGUAAAGCACUUUCAGUGGGGAAGAAAGCCUUGGGGCUAAUACCCUCGAGGAAGGACAUCACCCACAGAAGAAGCACCGGCUAACUCCGUGCCAGCAGCCGCGGUAAUACGGAGGGUGCGAGCGUUAAUCGGAAUUACUGGGCGUAAAGCGCGCGUAGGCGGUCUGAUAAGCCGGUUGUGAAAGCCCCGGGCUCAACCUGGGAACGGCAUCCGGAACUGUCAGGCUAGAGUGCAGGAGAGGAAGGUAGAAUUCCCGGUGUAGCGGUGAAAUGCGUAGAGAUCGGGAGGAAUACCAGUGGCGAAGGCGGCCUUCUGGACUGACACUGACGCUGAGGUGCGAAAGCGUGGGUAGCAAACAGGAUUAGAUACCCCGGUAGUC
Molecule: ribosomal RNA, 465 nt
Filed under: Vreelandella stevensii
Lineage: Bacteria; Pseudomonadati; Pseudomonadota; Gammaproteobacteria; Oceanospirillales; Halomonadaceae
Description: partial 16S ribosomal RNA
Rfam family: Bacterial small subunit ribosomal RNA
Source: RNAcentral